GACAUUAUACGUGAUUGAAUUUAUUUUGGUUAACUGCCGUUGCAUUUGUGUCCUUAUGUGGUCUGCAACCAGGUAGUCUCGUACAAUCUGGAAAAAAAAAGCUGCAGUGUUCAACCAUCAAACUAGAUCUCAUUUGAGCAUCGCGUACCAAAACCUUGUUGGGCAGCAAAUGCAAAGACGAUUAACGUAAUAAAUGCUCUUCAAUGGGAAAACGUGACUUUCUUGGCCAACCUUCAUUGGCAAACGAGUCAAACUGAUUUUUUUUUUUUUUAUUUGUUGACAU
This 283-nucleotide unclassified non-coding RNA is filed under the name Hevea brasiliensis (rubber tree). Lineage: Eukaryota; Viridiplantae; Streptophyta; Magnoliopsida; Malpighiales; Euphorbiaceae. The record is from RNAcentral.